UGGCCUUAAACUAAUGAGUAAGGAAAAUAACGAUCUGGGUGACGCCAGAUCCAGCGCUUUGAACGCUAUCAAUUUUUGACGGGUGGCAGGCUGCCCCAAGGUUGACCCGCCUACUUCCGCGGGACUCCUUGGUUGUAAGCGGCCUCCGCCC
This is a small nuclear RNA of Rhopilema esculentum, 151 nucleotides long. RefSeq annotates it as U12 minor spliceosomal RNA. The record is from RefSeq and is a predicted model, not a curated record. Lineage: Eukaryota; Metazoa; Cnidaria; Scyphozoa; Rhizostomeae; Rhizostomatidae.